RNA transcript from Chrysoperla carnea, 3890 nucleotides. It is a transcript of the gene named ephrin type-B receptor 1-B, with no coding region annotated. NCBI's taxonomy places the organism in Eukaryota, Metazoa, Arthropoda, Insecta, Neuroptera, Chrysopidae. The transcript is spliced from 17 exons. The record is from RefSeq and is a predicted model, not a curated record.
UUGUGAGUUUCUGGUGUAAAUUCGAAGUGUGAUUUUUGUUAGAAUGUUUUGGAUCUGAUCAUGGAUAAUACAAUUGAAGAACAUUUUUACUUUAUGACAUAGAAUAAAACGAAUGUUUUAUUUCACAAAAUGGGCAUUCUUUUAGUGCCCCCAAAAUGGUGUUUGCCCUGUGUGGCUAUUUUUGUGUGUAUUGUAAUUGGCACCUAUGGCGAACAAGUGGUACUCUUGGAUACAACGACGGAACAAAGUUUGGAUUGGACUAAAUAUCCAUAUGGACCACAGGCUACAACUCCUGGAUGGCUAGAAGAAUCUUUUACAAAUUUUGAUGCAGGAAUUAAUUGGCGCAGUAAUGUAGUCUGUGAUGUCGCCUAUAAUAAUGUCAAUAAUUGGCUAUGGACGCCAUUCAUCGAACGGGGUCUAGCAAAUCGUAUUUAUAUCGAAAUUAAAUUUACAAUACGAGAUUGUAAUUUGUUUCCAGGUAACGCGUUAAGCUGUAAAGAAACAUUUAGUUUAUUGUAUUAUGAAUUCGAUGCCGCUACAAGAGAUCCACCACCGUGGGAGCCUGAUAGUUAUAAAUUAAUUGGUCGUAUUGCGGCUGGAGAAGGUCGAUUUAGUAUAAAUGCAGAUGUGGGAUUCAAUACCGAAGUGAAAUCGAUUCCCGUAACAAAACGUGGAGUAUAUUUUGCAUUUCGAGAUCAAGGAGCUUGUAUUUCAUUGCUAGCGAUAAAAGUGUAUUACAUAACAUGUCCAGCAAUCACAAUAAAUUUUGCACGAUUCCCAGCCACACCAACGGGUCGUGAAGUGACCGUUAUCGAAGAAGCAACCGGUUCAUGUGUGGAGAAUGCAGAAAUCGCAAAUAAUACACCACCAAGAUAUUGGUGUAAGGGUGACGGAAAAUGGACUUUGUUAUCGGGUGGUUGUAAAUGCAAACCUGGUUUUGAGCCAGAUUUUGAGAAUCAAAAGUGUAAUGUUUGCGCACACGGUAAAUAUAAAUCGGACACGGGUGAUGGAUUUUGCGAACCGUGUCCACCGCAUAGUAAAGCCGAUGAUUAUGGAUUGAGCGAAUGUCGAUGUAAUCCUGGAUAUUAUCGUGCACCAACUGAUCUUAAGAAAAUGGCUUGUACACAACCGCCAUCUGCUCCACAAAAUUUAUCAGUGAAUUUUAUCGACCAAUCAACUGUGAUUUUAAGUUGGAAUCCACCCCAAAAUUUAGGAGGACGUACCGAUAUUUUCUAUCGAAUACAAUGCGAUGCUUGUGGUUCAACAGUGCAAUACAUUCCUAGUACCGAAACUUUUAACGAUACCCGAGUAACAAUAUCCGGUUUAUCAGCGGUAACAACAUAUCGUUUACAAGUAUUCGCUGAGAAUCCCGUAUCAAAAAUGUCACAAAAUCCGCCUGAGUAUACAGACAUUACGGUUACAACUGAACAAUCCGUCCAUAGUCUGGUCAGUAAUGUACGCGUUAUAGCUGUUAAGGCAACGGAAAUUGUGAUUGCAUGGGAUCCGCCAUUAUCAAGUACUAGUGGAGACGAUGCAGCCAACGAUGUUGAUGUCGUCGAAUAUGAAGUACGAUGUUUUCCACGAAAUUAUGAAUUGGAUCAAACCAAUUCAACGAUUACCUCCUUUACAAAGGAUUUACAACUUACUUUCUCUGGGUUAAAACAACGCACUGAAUAUGGUAUACAAGUUCGAGCGAAAACAUCGAGAGGUGCUGGUGAAUUUACACCCGUUAUUUAUAAAACUACUGGACAAAUGCUUGGAACAGUAUACGAUUCACAUCAUCCGGAUAUUCAUCGUGAUGUAAAUAGUGAACACGAUGAUGGUGCUAGUCUCGAUGCACGAUUAAUCGCUGGAGGAGCCACUGUUGCCGUUGUUACGUUGCUCGUAGUCAUCAUCAUAAUGGCUGUAAUGUUCCUACGUUCACGGCAGAGUGACGAAUGCAACAAAUUGAAACAACAACCGGGCGAUUGUGAUGCGCUUGAAUAUCGUAAUGGCGAAGUUCUUCAUAAUAUGGAUAGCCCGCCCAUUGUUACGACACAUACUAACGUGACUACCCCCCUUUUUACAGCUAUUGGUGGUGCUCCGGGCGGUUCACGGACCUACAUUGAUCCACACACAUACGAGGAUCCAAAUCAAGCUGUUCGAGAAUUCGCACGUGAAAUCGAUGCAAGCUGUAUCACUAUUGAAGCUAUUAUAGGUGGUGGAGAAUUUGGUGACGUAUGUAGGGGUAAAUUGAAAUUGCCAUCUGUAGGAAUGCAAGAAAUCGACGUAGCAAUAAAAACUUUAAAACCAGGGUCUUUGGAUAAAGCACGAAAUGACUUUUUAACAGAAGCCUCGAUAAUGGGUCAAUUUGAGCAUCCAAAUGUGAUAUUUUUACAAGGUGUUGUAACGAAAUCCAAUCCAAUUAUGAUUAUUACCGAAUACAUGGAAAAUGGUUCUUUGGAUACAUUUUUGAAGGCAAACGAUGGUAAAUUUCAAGUAUUACAAUUGGUUGGAAUGUUGAGGGGCAUCGCAUCAGGGAUGCAGUAUUUAAGUGAAAUGAAUUACGUGCAUCGUGAUUUAGCUGCACGUAAUGUUUUAGUUAAUACACAAUUAGUGUGUAAAAUAGCUGAUUUUGGAUUAUCUAGAGAGAUUGAAUCCACGACAGAAGGUGCUUACACCACUAGGGGUGGAAAAAUUCCAGUCCGAUGGACAGCACCUGAAGCAAUAGCAUUUAGAAAAUUUACAUCAGCAUCUGAUGUAUGGUCAAUGGGUAUUGUUUGUUGGGAAGUUAUGUCUUAUGGUGAACGGCCAUAUUGGAAUUGGUCCAAUCAGGACGUCAUCAAGAGUAUUGAAAAAGGUUAUAGGCUUCCAGCACCAAUGGAAUGUCCUGAAGCAAUAUAUCAAUUAAUGUUGGAUUGUUGGCAAAAAGAACGGACACAUCGGCCCUCAUUUGCCAGCAUAGUCACCACAUUGGAUAAAUUAAUUAGGAAUCCUGAUACCUUACGAAAAAUAGCCCAAAAUCGUCGUCCACAAGUGUUGAACUCAUAUUUUUCUACUACUGGCUUGGGACAACCCUCUUACAAUAUCCCCACCGCAUAUAAUAACGCUUUACAAUAUCUGGGACAUUUUGAGCCAACGACACAACAAAAUUUUGGACCAUCAGCGCCCUACAAUUAUUUUGGUGAUCAACAUUUUUAUGGUGGACAUAUGACACAACCUAGAGCCCAUCAUCGAAUCAACGAAGCUCUAGCACAAUUAUAUGGUGAUCAAAAUAUAGCACGAAUUAAUUUUCAAACAAUGAUGCGAGCCCAUCAAAAAAAUAACGAUUCGAUUUUAUUAAACGAUCUACAACAGUCGAAUCAAUCACCUUUGGAAUUCAUCCCGAAGGAAUGGAUGCAAACAGACUUCUACGACGAGACCAAAAACGAUUUGUAUAAUUUAUGGAUGAGCCAGAAAAAUACAGAAACGAAUUCGAGUAAUGAUACAACGAGUAAACGACAUUCGAAUCAAACGUUACCUAGUGAAUGGUCGGGGUCGGCUACGACCUCCAUGACAUCGACUCAAUCUACUCAACAACAACCCACAACUGAUGAGUCUCACCAGAGUCAGAGUCAAAGUCAAAAUCAAACAAGUGGUUCCCGUAAUCCAGGUGCUUGGGUCACUUUUAAUCAGCUUUAAAUGUUUCUCUCAUAAUUAUUUUCCACACAUAUUUUCACACACAAUUCACACACACUCAAAUUUUCAUGGCUUUUUAUGUUGUUCUAAAAAAAAAAAGAGAAGUUCCAACAAUCCAUUAGCAGCUGAUGCACCCGACCUAACAAAUUUCCUAAGUGUAGAAGAAUGGUUAAAUUCAAUAAAGAUGGCACGCUAUGUGGAAAAUUUCCAUAGCAACGGCAUUACAUCGAUGG